RNAcentral lists this ribosomal RNA (372 nucleotides) under uncultured organism. RNAcentral's name for it is "partial 16S ribosomal RNA". It matches the Rfam family "Bacterial small subunit ribosomal RNA", at positions 527 to 896 of the family's 1533-position model. The record is from RNAcentral.
GUAGGUGGCAAGCGUUGUCCGGAAUUAUUGGGCGUAAAGCGCGCACAGGCGGUUCUUUAAGUCUGAUGUGAAAGCCCACGGCUCAACCGUGGAGGGUCAUUGGAAACUGGAGAACUUGAGUACAGAAGAGGAAAGCGGAAUUCCACGUGUAGCGGUGAAAUGCGUAGAGAUGUGGAGGAACACCAGUGGCGAAGGCGGCUUUCUGGUCUGUAACUGACGCUGAGGCGCGAAAGCGUGGGGAGCAAACAGGAUUAGAUACCCUGGUAGUCCACGCCGUAAACGAUGAGUGCUAAGUGUUAGGGGGGUUUCCGCCCCCCUUAGUGCUGCAGCUAACGCAUUAAGCACUCCGCCUGGGAUACGGCCGCAAGGCUG